UACGUAGGUGGCAAGCGUUGUCCGGAAUUAUUGGGCGUAAAGCGCGCGCAGGCGGUCUUUUAAGUCUGAUGUGAAAGCCCCAGGCUUAACUGGGGAGGGCCAUUGGAAACUGGGUUGCUUGAGUAUAGGAGAGAAGAGUGGAAUUCCACGUGUAGCGGUGAAAUGCGUAGAGAUGAGGAGGAACACCAGUGGCGAAGGCGACUCUUUGGCCUAUAAUUGACGCUGAGGCGCGAAAGCGUGGGGAGCAAACAGG
RNAcentral lists this unclassified non-coding RNA (253 nucleotides) under uncultured Caryophanales bacterium. RNAcentral describes it as "uncultured Bacillales bacterium contains 16S-23S intergenic spacer region". It matches the Rfam family "Bacterial small subunit ribosomal RNA", at positions 524 to 776 of the family's 1533-position model. The record is from RNAcentral. Lineage: Bacteria; Bacillati; Bacillota; Bacilli; Caryophanales.